Molecule: ribosomal RNA, 255 nt
Filed under: uncultured bacterium
Lineage: Bacteria
Description: partial 16S ribosomal RNA
Rfam family: Bacterial small subunit ribosomal RNA
Source: RNAcentral
UACGGGGGGGAGCAAGCGUUGUUCGGAUUUACUGGGCGUAAAGGGCGCGUAGGCGGCCACCGCAAGUCGAUUGUGAAAUCUCCGGGCUUAACCCGGAAAGGUCAACCGAUACUGCGGGGCUAGAGUGCAGAAGGGGCAACUGGAAUUCUCGGUGUAGCGGUGAAAUGCGUAGAUAUCGAGAGGAACACCAAAGGCGAAGGCAGUGUCCUGGGGAGUACCUGACGCUCAGGUGCGAAAGCCAGGGGAGCGAACGGG